GAAGCUGGGUAAACCUUACAGAUACUGGUGUUCAGGCUUGAAAACCUGGAGUGGACAUAUAUUCCCACCUACAUAUUCAUUCAGUAAAACAGUGACGUUACCUCUGAAGGAUGAACUUUAGAUAAUGAGAAAUGAAAUAUUUCCUGCCAUAUCAGUAAACAAAGGAUGUCACAGUCAUCUGCGCUUGCAGCCCUCCAAGGUGAGCUGGUGAACCCUGAGGGAACUCAAGAAGGAAAGAAUACCUGCCAUCUAGCAGCCAUCAAACUGCAGCCACUCCCCACGAUACGUCUUCCUGGUGGAAUAUCAUCUCCUCUCCUUACAACUACGUCCAAUGAUGCAGCAACCACAGCAAGAUUGUGUAGGCUUUAAAGAAGAUCAUCUUUUUUUUGGUACCAGUUGGUGGAACCAGAGGUGAAGAAGAACAGCUGAAGGUGUGUUUAGAGAAAGCACGCUCACUGUGUUCCCAAGAGAUGGAAAACACGGGCCUCCCUCUGUUGUGGCCUCUCCCGUUGCGGAGCACAGGCUCCGGACGCGCAGGCUCACGGGCCCAGCCGCUCCGCGGCACGUGGGAUCCUCCCAGACCCGGGCGCGAACCCGGUUCCCCUGCAUCGGCAGGCGGACGCGCAACCACUGCGCCACCAGGGAAGCCCCGGAAAACACUUUCUAUGAGGAAACAAAGAACCAACCGAAUUCUUUAAGAAUCUCUGAUGACAAAAUCACAUUUUCCUAUUUUCUUGCCUCUUCCACUAGUACAAACUGCAAACAGAAACACAUUCUUUUUCUUCAUAAUUAUGUAAUUACAAUAGUAGUUUUGUCGUGUUUCAUCGUGUACAUGUAGGGCAAUACACGAACAUGAGAUUGUUCAGUACAGAGAAUAUAAACUCUUGGUCACUAAUACACACAUGCAUGUGCACACAUCCAUUCUCCAAAGACAGAUCUGUGAGGGCAUUGGCCAAAAUGAAUUCUCAAUUAUUAUUUUUUUUGAUAGUUCUUUUACAUGGCGAAUAAAAAUAACUGAAUCAGGACACUUUCAGUGAAAGCAACAUUUCAAUUACAAAGUGUAAUGCCUGUUAAACUACUCAUGGAGAAGCUCAAAAGUCCCAGAAAAAGUUUUCAAUUUCUUGCAUGCGAGAAUAGUAAACAUAC
Long non-coding RNA from Physeter macrocephalus (sperm whale), 1146 nucleotides. RefSeq lists it as uncharacterized. The record is from RefSeq and is a predicted model, not a curated record. The transcript has 3 exons. Lineage: Eukaryota; Metazoa; Chordata; Mammalia; Artiodactyla; Physeteridae.